RNAcentral lists this ribosomal RNA (440 nucleotides) under uncultured bacterium. RNAcentral's name for it is "bacterial SSU rRNA". It matches the Rfam family "Bacterial small subunit ribosomal RNA", at positions 29 to 518 of the family's 1533-position model. The record is from RNAcentral.
AACGAACGCUGGCGGCAGGCCUAACACAUGCAAGUCGAGCGCUCACUUCGGUGGGAGCGGCGGACGGGUUAGUAACGCGUGGGAACGUGCCCUUCUCUACGGAAUAGCCAUUGGAAACGAUGAGUAAUACCGUAUACGCCCUUCGGGGAAAGAUUAUCGGAGAGGAUCGGCCCGCGUUAGAUUAGAUAGUUGGUGGGGUAACGGCCUACCAAGUCUACGAUCUAUAGCUGGUUUUAGAGGAUGAUCAGCAACACUGGGACUGAGACACGGCCCAGACUCCUACGGGAGGCAGCAGUGGGGAAUCUUAGACAAUGGGCGCAAGCCUGAUCUAGCCAUGCCGCGUGUGUGAUGAAGGCCCUAGGGUCGUAAAGCACUUUCGCCAGGGAUGAUAAUGACAGUACCUGGUAAAGAAACCCCCGGCUACUCCGUGCCAGCGCCGC